CCGCUUUCUCCACUGGCUUCCAGUUGAAGCUCGCAUCCGCUACAAGACCAUGGUGAUUGCCUACGGAGCUGUGAGGGGAACGGCACCUCCAUACCUUCAGGCUCUGAUCAGGCCCUACACCCAAACAAGGGCACUGCGUUCAUCCACCUCUGGCCUGCUGGCCCCCCUACCUCUGAGGAAGCACAGUUCCCGCUCAGCCCAGUCAAAACUGUUCGCUGCUGUGGCACCCCAAUGGUGGAACAAGCUCCCUCACGACGCCAGGACAGCGGAGUCAGUCACCACCUUCCGGAGACACCUGAAACCCCACCUCUUUAAGGAAUACCUAGGAUAGGAUAAAGUAAUCCUUCUAACCCCCCCCUUAAAAGAUUUAGAUGCACUAUUGUAAAGUGGUUGUUCCACUGGAUAUCAUAAGGUGAAUGCACCAAUUUGUAAGUCGCUCUGGAUAAGAGCAUCUGCUAAAUGACUUAAAUGUAAUGUAAAUGUAAUUUUCUGGGGUACACGGAAAAGGUGCAAAUUAAAAGCGAGGGUCGACAUCUGCCUGAGAUCAGUUUCAUGAAGAAGGAUGAAAAGGUGAAGGCAUUCAAUACCACCUGGUAUCAAAAGUAUAGCUGGUUAACAGGGAGCCUUUCAUCAAGCCGCCUGUAUUGCGGCCUUGCAUGCGUUUUUGGGCAUGCAAGAAUUUGCUUUUAGAGGACAUGAGGAGAUGGAAAGUUCCGCCGACAAGGGCAACUACAAGGAGCUUCUAGAGCUAAGUCCCUCUCCUGUUCCCUGAUUAAGAGGUGAUGACUACUCCACUCCACUACCUUUGUCAACUUUCUCCUGACAUGAACUGAAGCCACGUCUCAUGUGAGCACUCAUCCACUGGCACAUUGAAUGUUUCCCCUCCAGGCACUUCAAAUCCUGUCCUGCACUGGUCAAGUCUCUGAACACCUAAACUCAUGCCUCAUACCCUCAUUCAAUCACUGCUGUGAUCCCUUUCCCACACGGUGACCCCUCUGGUGGCAGCAAUGGAGGUACAGUUGGGAGAGAUGGCGUUAAAGUUAAGAAGACAAGGACAUACGGUUACACACCC
This 1072-nucleotide long non-coding RNA is filed under the name Salmo salar (Atlantic salmon). RNAcentral describes it as "lncRNA (ENSSSAG00000116028.1)". The stretch from base 416 to 469 matches the Rfam family "UnaL2 LINE 3' element". Lineage: Eukaryota; Metazoa; Chordata; Actinopteri; Salmoniformes; Salmonidae. The record is from RNAcentral.